RNAcentral lists this unclassified non-coding RNA (249 nucleotides) under Hevea brasiliensis (rubber tree). Lineage: Eukaryota; Viridiplantae; Streptophyta; Magnoliopsida; Malpighiales; Euphorbiaceae. The record is from RNAcentral.
CCACAUCAUCAGGUAAGCCCGGCAAAACAGAGCAAAACUCUGUUGGUUCUCGUGCUAUUAACUGGAAAUCAACUUUCGAGCGAGUGGCCAUAUUGCUUUGAGUGACAGAGAAGCACAUUUCUGUUCCGGCAAAACGCUUUUUACAACCAGUCAGGCCAGGCAUUCCCAAAUUAGGCUGCAAACAGGUUUCGCUACAACCCUAAUACCGCCAGGUGAGAGAGAACAAUAAGGCUUAGAGGAAGGGGAGGG